AAUGAACGUUGGCGGCAUGGAUUAGGCAUGCAAGUCGGGCGAGAAGGAAAUCAAAGUUUACUUUGGUUUCCGGAAAGCGGCGAAAGGGAGAGUAACGCGUAGUUAUCUACCCCAAGGCCCGGAAUAGCUGCGGGAAACUGCAGGUAAUGCCGGAUAAUAUCCCCGGAUCAAAGGUGUGAUUCCGCCUUGGGAGGAGACUGCGUUGUACUAGCUUGUUGGUAGGGUAAUGGCCUACCAAGGCUACGAUGCAUAGCGGGCGUGAGAGCGUGGCCCGUCUCACUGGGACUGAAACACUGCCCAGACACCUACGGGUGGCUGCAGUCGAGAAUCUUCGGCAAUGGGCGAAAGCCUGACCGAGCGAUGCCGCGUGCGGGAUGAAGGCCCUCGGGUUGUAAACCGCUGUCGUAGGGGAGAAAGGACCGUUGAAGAGACGGUUUUGAUCUAUCCUAGGAGGAAGUCCGGGCUAAGUUCGUGCCAGCAGCCGCGGUAA
This 490-nucleotide ribosomal RNA is filed under the name uncultured bacterium. Its description in RNAcentral is "partial 16S ribosomal RNA". It matches the Rfam family "Bacterial small subunit ribosomal RNA", at positions 29 to 523 of the family's 1533-position model. The record is from RNAcentral.